GACGAACCGUGCGAACGUUAUUCGGAAUCACUGGGCUUAAAGCGCGUGUAGGCGGCCCGGCGCGUCGAAUGCUGAAAUCCCCCGGCUCAACCGGGGAAGUGGCAUCGAAACGGCCGGGCUGGAGGGGGGUAGGGGGCGCCGGAACUUCCGGUGGAGCGGUGAAAUGCGUUGAGAUCGGAAGGAACGCCCGUGGCGAAAGCGGGCGCCUGGACCCCACCUGACGCUGAGACGCGAAAGCCAGGGGAGCGAACGGG
RNAcentral lists this ribosomal RNA (254 nucleotides) under uncultured bacterium. RNAcentral's name for it is "partial 16S ribosomal RNA". It matches the Rfam family "Bacterial small subunit ribosomal RNA", at positions 524 to 776 of the family's 1533-position model. The record is from RNAcentral.